AUGGCUCCAAACAAAGUGCAGAGCAGUAAUGACAGUAACAAGAAAGUCCAGGGCAAGAAUGGUAAGAAGAAGGUUUUGAAGAAAAUAACCAUUGCUUUGAAGAAGGAAAUUGUUGAAAAGCAUGAGCAUGGUAUUCGUGUGACUGAUUUGGCCUUGGAGUACAAGAUGGCGAAGUCCACAAUCUCGACUAUUUUGAAGAAUAGAGAUGCUAUAAAAGGAGCUAAUGUGGCAAAAGGAGUGACGACGUUGACCAAGCAGAGGACACAAGUGCUGGAAGAGGUCGAAAAACUUUUGUUAGUGUGGUUGAAUGAGAAACAACUGGCAGGUGAUAGUGUUAGUGAAGCUAUGAUCUGUGAAAAAGCCAGGAAACUGCACAGUGAUUUACUGCAAGAAAAACCCUCCACAAGUGCAACAACUGAUAAAUUUAAAGCCAGUAGAGGGUGGUUUGAUAAAUUCCGGAAGAGAAGUGGCAUUCUCCGUGUGACAAGACAUGAUGAAGCUUCCAGUUCUGGCAAGGUUGUUGCAGGAGCCUACAAGAAAGAGUUCUCAGAAUUCGUAAAGGCAGAAGGAUAUGUUGCUCAACACGUGUUCAACUGCAAUGAAACCAGGCUUUUCAGGAAGAAGAUGCCUAACAGAACCUACAUCACACAGGAGGAAAAGGCCCUGCCUGGGCACAGUGAGCAGCAGAGGGCGCUUGUUGAGAAAUUUUUCACUGAGAAAGAGGAAGAGGAGGAUGAAGUUAGCAGUGAUAUGAUAAAAUCCAUUAUGGUAAAAUGGAAAGAGUGCCAGGAUUUCUUUGAGAAGCACCACCCCAACAUAACUAUAACGAACAGAGUGUUGAAGCUUAUGAACGAUAAUGUGGUCUCUCAUUUCCGGAGAGUUAUGCAGCGCAAGAAAAAACAAGUGACAUUAGGCAGAUUUUUUGUCAAAAUCGACCCUGCAGCUAAGAAACAAAGAAGAGAGGAAACCCCUGAAGGAGGUCUACCUGAUGUCCUUAUGGGAGGAAACUCUCCAAACAGUAACCUCCUUCCUACCUUUCUUCCUGUCCUCCAUGCCAAAGGUCUCAAGCAAGAAUACCUGACUGGGUCAUUGAUAAAGGGAACAGGGUUUAUAUUGACUCACCGUUCUGGAGAUGGGGAAGCCUAGGACCGAGUAACCAUAUCUGGUGAGGGCUUUGUGCUCUGUCAUGACGUGGGAAGGCAGAAAUGUGUGUGUGUGUGUGUGUUCUGUUCUGUGUGUGUGCAUACGUAUAAGGUGUGUAUAUGUGGUGUGUGUGUGUGUGGUAUGUAUGUAUAUGUUCUGUGUGUGUGUGUGUAUGUAUAAGGUGUGUAUAUGUGGUGUAUAUGUGGUGUGUGUGUGUGUGUGUGUAUGUAUGGGGACUCUAUACAACAACCCACUCUCGAGGUAACCAAUCCAGUCCCACUAGAACCACAUUCUACCUUUUGAUGACCUGAUCAUAUCUUAAAGAUCCCAUCACCUCCACGUUGUCACACUGGGAAUCACAUUUCAUUAUGAGCUUUGGAGGGAGCAAACCAUAUUCAAAUUAUGGCAAUGUGGCUGUUGGGAAAAGUGCUAAAGUAAAGUGUUAGUUUCCUCCAGUCCUGAAAUUCUCAACUCUGAUGCCACUCUUUUAUCCCUUCCUUUUUGGCUUCAGCCAUUGGAAAAAAGAAAGGAGAAGAGUAAGAGCUGAAAAUUGAGAAGAAAAGGAAGGGAGAGUAAUAGGGAAGGUUACAUCGGCAAAUAUUAAAGAGGUCUGUAUGUUGAGUUAUUGAGUUCAAAUCAAGUGAAAUACAGCAGAGAGCUGCUAUGCUCCUUCUGCCGCGCGAGGACCAGAGAGAAGGCAUCAUCUGUAAACCUCAGCUGACCCCAACGCUGCGGCACCUUGAUCCUGGACUUUCCAGCCUCUGGAACUGGGAGAAAUAAAUGUUAGCUGUUCACACCUCGUCAGAUCGAUGGCAUUGUGUAAUAGUAGAGUGAACGGACUAAGACAAUCCAGUUGGCAUGCGGGCACCUGGUGUUCGUCACCUGGCUUUUCUCCCUUGUCCCCUCCCCUUUUCUUAUCAGCACUGCCACACACAGUAUCUGUGUUCAGCUUGGAAAGGUGGGCAGUACUUAAAGCUGUAAGUAAAACCCAAAAACUACUCUCUAAAGACCAUCAGAAAAUGGAUAAUAGGAAUACGGUUUUGGCAUUUCAAGUGAACCGUGACUUGAAAAAUGACAAGCAUUCCCUGUUUCCAUGUGGGAAUGUCACCUUCUCAGAAGACACUGGAGCACCGCAGAGAUUCCGGAGGUAGAGCAGCGCUCUGUGGUCCCAGGAGACAGUGGCUAACAGGGUUUUCACAGCUUAGGGCUCAGCUCAGGCCUGUCUGGGAGAGCCAGAGCCAGAGCCAGUGUGUGUGCCCUGCCUUCUCUGGGGCUCAGUGUGUGUGCAUGGUGAAGGCACUGGGUAGGACAGUACCCAACUCCAGCUAAGAGAAACCUGGCCAGUGCUUGUGCGCUUUUCUGUCUGUUAGGUCUUGGUUUACUCCUGCACCCCUGCUUUUGAUGCACUCCUCCAAGACCCAGCACGGCUUCUGCCGACUCACGGGAGGGGCAGCUGGCUUCUGUCUUCCUGGGCCCCGCGUGGCUUGCGCAGCUUACAGGAAAGGCAAAUUGGCUUCUUGCUGUGCUCCUCCCAGACUUAGCAUGGCUUCUCUGUGCCCCAACUUUUGAGAACUGCCCCUAGAUAGAUGUGGGGAUGCCCAUUCAAAGUCAGGCCCUAGACUGUGACAGAAUUCGUAUUUCAUUGCUCUAUGAAAACUUCCCACAGUUCCUUUCGGAUGUAGCUCAUCCCACCGCGCAGUUGGGUAGGGCCUGCUGGCCGCCUGCCUGCCCACCAGCUGUCUGCCCUAGCGAGCCCAGGCGUGGCUGUAGAGCUUUCACCUGGAGGUUGAAAGGUUGUGGUUUAUUUGUAUCAAGACGUGCAGUUUUGCCCCUUGCACAAGGCUGUACCUGUCCUGGUGUUGGUCCCAGUUUGAGGGCCCAAGGAAAGGGCAGGGAAUUCAGAGAAGUGUCAGCCCACCCAACGUGGUCACCCGGUCAAUACCAGCACUCACCUACCUCCAGUUUCAUUGUGCAGGGGCAAAAAAAAAAAAAAAAAGAAAAGAAAAGAAAAAAGAAAGCACAGCACUUUUUUGGUUACUUCUUUUGGUUUGGGAGUAUACAGCUGAAUCAGAUUCCUUAUUGAUGAAUGAAAACAAGAGAAAGCUUAGUGUGGUCAACAAGUAGGAGAGAAGCUUUCCUUUUGUGGGCCCAGGGCAAAAGCAGGACUGUUUCAAGAGUCAGUCUAGUGUCUAAUCACAGUAAUCAGGAAUAUUAAUAAUUACUUAGUACCAAAUAAUACAGAGCCCAUCAAAAAAUGCACACACACUCUAGGAAAAGAAAAGUUGUCUGAUGUCUGUUCAGCAGAUGGUGUAACCCUUGUAUGGGGAGCACCUGAGAAUCUUGUAUAUCACAGAAAAUCUGCAACAACACUGCCACCCCUUAGAGAAGAAAUCAAAGAUGCAUGUGCAGGAAUCUCAGUGGCCAAGGUUACCCAAGCAGCAAGCAGUAGGCUCUACUAAUAAAUGUCUGGAAACCAAUAGCCAUCACUUUGAACACUUCUUGUAAUUGUCAAUGGUAGCUUGUACUAAUCCAUAAAUUUAGUGUUAAGAGAUUUAUACAAGGUUUUCUUUUCCUGAGGUGUGUAUAUAUAUUUUUGGGCAAACUGUGCUUAGUCCAUAUUCAAACUUUCUCACUUAACGCAAGAAUGUCUUUUAGAGCUGGUGCCUUUUUUAAUCUCAGGAUUCACUCAAGGUUUGUGCGUUGUAUUUGGUCAUCAUGUACUUCAUCUCUUUUUAUUUUUAGUUCCCUUUGAUUUGUUUUCCUUCAUGACCUUGAUUUUUUAAAAAGUGCAGGGCAGCUCUCUCCAGGACAUCACGUUCCGAAUUUGUUGACAUUUCUUCCUCUUGGGGUCUCCUAUCCUUCUCUGGUAUUUCCUGUGACCUGGAAGUUCAGUGUAAGGACUUAGCUUGUGAACCCCCUUGUGGUUUCAGUUCAUAUCUGCUGGAUUUCUAAUGAGACGGAGCAUCUUUUCAUAUGUUCCUUGGCCACGUGCUCUCUUGUCAAGCACCCUUUCAGCUCGUGUAGGCGUGCUUUAUUCUAUAUACAUGUUGAAAAUGUCAUCUCUCACUCUGUGUUUGCAAGGAUGUUUCUAGUUCUGCAAGGCUGUCUUUCGAUGAACAAAACUUUUCACUGUUAAUGUCCAGUUUAUCGUAUUUCUGUGACUCAUUUGAAAAGUCACCUCUGAGGAUUAUCUCCUCAAUUUGCUUCCAUAAUUGGGUCUAAGGUCCUCCUGGAAGUGUUUUCUUCAUGUGUGGUGCAUGGUGGGGGGUUUCUUUCUCCCCUGACGCUGUUUAUUGAAUGCAUGGUCCUUUCCCCAAUACGCUGCAGGGCCACUUCCUCCGUAAGCCUAGGUCUCUGUGUGUGGGUCAGUUUGGGAGAUGUCUGUUCCACCCACUGGUCUGUUUUCCUCCUUGCACUAAUACAGUUUCCUAGUUACUAUUUGGUAGUCUUGACACCUGACUGCAGAUUCUCCCUCUGUAUUGCUUCAAGAGUGACUUGCCUAAGAUUUUGAUAUUGUACACAAAACUGGCUCAAACCUGGAGCUUCCCCUUUGAGUAGAAUCAUGAAAUUAUUAUACUUUCUUGUGCUAUGAUCCAGGAAGUGACUUACCCAGUUUCCCAGGUGAUCCCUUGCAGAAAUUUUGCCUCCAUGACUUAAAUAAAGUUGUGACUUGAACCAGUGCAUUAUCUGUUAAAUUUUACUUACUGGUGACUUUAGCAGUGUUUUUAUAGGCUGGAGUAUGGGAAUUGAAUGAGAUUCCAGGUGACUAAAUUACCUGAUGUCUGGAAAUGAGUGACUGGGAAUGGGAAUCUAUUUUGAUCCUUCCCUUAGGGAUGUACUUGGUAGUGGGAAGGAAUUCUGGAGUCUAAUUUUUGGGUUGUAUUCUGGGUGUGGUCCUGGGCCCACUAGUUACCCUGCCAGGCGUUUCCUCAUCAGUGACAGGGAUGUUACUGCUGCCUACUGGUGCACGCUCAGCCCUCACUCUUUGCCUUACACAGCCACUGACCAGCUCCGCAGGUGAGGCUCCCACCAGGUUCCUCCGAGUCCUCGCUCAGAGAUCCUGGCAAACACUUAUUUCCACAGCUGUGUGAGGCAGGUGUUCAUGUGGACUGAGAAAGGUAAGGAGGUAUCUUUCUCCAGUCUGAUUUUCCUUUGUGACAUAGAGGACUGUAAACAUGAUGUCUCUUGUGGUUGAGAGUGAUUCAUUAUUAGUGACAAGAAAAGUGACAAAUACGUGCUUCGUUUAUUCUCUCGCAUAACAAGAAAGAGAACUCGGGCUGCAACGGUGGCAAUAAAGGGUUACUGGCCCCAGGUCUCCUUGCUUCUACCCACUAUGCUGAUGGCUGCUCGCAUCGAGCUUAUGAGACGAGUGCUGGGCCAUGUGCCCUGCGGUCCCUGUUUCAGCUGGGAUUGGAUGGGGACAGGGCCAAACAUCCCUCCCCAAGCGCCUCAUGCCAAGGUUUGCCUUCAUAUUCAGGGACACCCGUCUGCAUGGGAGGCUUGGAAUAUUUCAGAGCUGGCACCUUGCCUGGAGUCUGUUACUAAAGAAGGAUGGUAAAGAACAGACAUUGGGCAAGAGGACACAAGUUGUCUUGUGAUCUGAAAGCCCUGCUCCCUUCUCCUCCCUGUGGUGCUGGGGAUUGAACCAAGCCUUGGGCACCACAGGCAACCACUCUGCCCCUGAGCUAUGUCCCCAAUCCUUUUAAAAUUUUGAAACUGGGUGUGAGUCGACCAGGCUGGCCUUGAACUUGAAAUCUUCUUGCCACAGCCUCCUGAGUACCGGAAAUUGCAUGUCCGUACUACUACACUCAGCUGAAAUCUCUGCUUUUUACAGAAAAAAAAGUCCAUAAUUUGUAAGUGCUGCAGAGGUUUCAGGAAUAAGGUGGAGUUCUGAGCAAUGUGGAGAUUCAAGUGCCGUAGAUUCCCAGGAGAACAGCCUGCUCAGGAUGACGGCUCUUCUGCUGUAGCUGGUCAGCCAGGGCCCGUAAGGGGCCUGCGCGGCGGAUCUGUCACCAGGUGGCCUCGGUCAGCAGUGCACAGUGGUCUCCAGGCAGGCGGCCCAUGGAAACCUCGUGCAGUUCCUGCUGGUUGCUUCUGUGUUUCUCCCCAGCAUUGAGCCUGCGGACAUUCUUUGUGAGUCUGUAGCGUCACAGACAUGCCUGGCAGUGCAGUCCUUAGAAGGAGCCUCUAUUUGCCCUGGCAGGGGGUUCCCUGAGCACCAGAGAUUCCCCAGUGGCGUCAUCACUGGAUGGAGUCCAAGGAGGUCCCCAGGGGACCCCAUCUCAUCUCACCUCCCCGUGGAAUAGGCUCUUGUUGCACAACAGCAUUUUAGGAUGUGUCUGUGAGGGGCAAAGAUAGGUUUAUUCAGCAGAACUAAGGAAGCAGACACCAGACGCGAGUGACUCCCCGAGGGCUGGGGCGAGUCCACGCUGUGCCUUUGGAAAUCUGUAGGAUUUGUGUCUGUGGAAAGCGUGGGCUGAAUUUACAGGUGGAAGACGGUGGCCAGUUUCAAGUACCAAGUUCGAAAGUAUAGGCAACAGCUGUGAAGAUAAUAAGAUUCAUUAUGACGCCCAUUCUGGUUGACUAUUAUCUUCUUUUGAAGACCUGUAAUGUCUCCAUUGUUUUGGUUUUAUUGGUUUUGUUCUUUACUAUUUUGUUCAAUUUUAUUAUAACUGAUGAUAUAGGCAGUUCUUUUUAAGAUAGCAAGAGGCAUUAUGGUAACCAUUGUUGAUCACUGUUGUAGUCCGGGGUUAUACAGAGAGAACAGUUCAGAUCAGGACAUGGAGUUUAUAAUAUUUUUAUAAUGGUCACUGGAAGUUAACACAGGAGAAUGCAGGAAAUCCAUCUGCAACACCAAGGCAUAGAUUAUUUACCCAAGAGUCUAAACCCCAUGGCAAGUCCCACAUGAGUCCAGAUAAAAACCCAGAGCUCAGAACAACGCCUCCAUGAGUCCAACUGGAAGUCCAGAGCCCACAAGAAGGACUCACGCCAGUCUCUUUUACGGAUUCGUGCCUGGAAGACCCAAGGGUCAGCGGUGGAAGCUAGAAAGUCUAUGCCAGCAGGAUGAAGGAGCUGUGCUAGUGGGAUGAGGGUUCCACACUGGAGCCGAGAAGUCACACUCACAACAAAGAGCGGGGCUGUCCUGAAAGGCACCACAGCUGUCCUCAGUGACACAGAGGCCCCGAGCUCCUCCGACAACAAGUACAGUCGGGUACGUGCCAGGCAGCAGCGUGACGAGUUCAUCCUGGAGACCAGGCAGCACAUGUCUUCCCCUCCGGAGCCAGGAAACAAUGCUCGAUGUGAAGAUCAAAGUUUCUCCAGGAGAACCAACAGCUCAGACAGCAACUCGUAGGAGAACCAACAAUGUCUCCAUAAUGCCUCAGUCCCUCUCCAACACCUCUCUUCUCCACCUAUUUAUCCUGGCAGCCCUCCUCAGGUGGAGCAUCUUCUCUCAAUGCAUGCUGAUGUAAUCCAGCUGGCGUUAAGUUGACCACUAGUUAUCGAACCAUAACAAUCACCUUGUAUUAUGUUUUUACAUUUUAUAUUAUGUCCAUCCUUUUGAUUUGACUGACUCUGUUCUGUUAUGUCACAUUUGGUUUUACUCUCUUUAGAAAAAAGUAAUAAGAACUGUGGGAGCAAUAAAACCCAAAAUGUGUAAUUGUCAUUGUACAAAAGAGGAAAAGAAAGUGCUCUAAAGGAUAUAACUGCAUGUGUCUUUAAGUGUAUAACAUAGAUAACCAUAUUACUGAGUUUCAUUGGAUCAUUGAACAGAACUGUUUGUAGUCUUACUGUUUGAAUGUCCACUUUAUAUGCUUUAAUUUUGUAACUUGAACAAAUGUUUCUAAGAUGACAAUAUGUAAUCUAUUAACUAGUGAUUUCCUACUGUUUAUUUUUUUCUGAAAUUCUGUAUAACUUGUACCCUUUUUCUGCUUUUUUUUUUUUUCUCCUUAAAAUUAAAAAAAAAAAAAGAUCUACUUCACUGGGAAGUAACAAUAGUUCUAAAUUUUAUGUCCCUAACAGCACAGCAUUACGAUAUUUAAAGCAAAAUGACAAAUCUACUAGGAGCAUUACUAUUAUUAGCACAUUACUUUCAAUACAUUUUGGAGCGUGCAGACAAAAAACCAGUGGAAUACAGUGAUUGAACAGUACACUUAGCAAACAUUCUAGCAAUGCCAAGUAGGAACAAUUGUGGAAUAUACGCCCUUUUCAGUACUUACAGCAUAUUAGUAAAAUUGGUAGCAAAAUUAGAUCACAAAUAAAAUUACUAAAAUUUUAAAUAUUUGAUGUUGAACAAACCACAUUCUUUGACAACAGUCUAAUUGUAAGAUAUAAAUAGGUAAAACAAAACAAAACAACCCGGCAUCAUUCAGUGUUCAGAAACAACACUAGCUAUUUUAAGCAGAAAGGGGCUGAGCCCUGGGAUCUGAGUGAUUACAAAGCUGCUGAAAGAGAUAGAGAAUUUAACUUUAGUUGGGGCUUCCAGAGCUGAUGCCAGAACAGAAUCCCCAAGGGCAGAUGCUUCGGCAUCUGCUCUGCCCAAGGCAGCGGGCCGGGGACCAGGACAGCUGUGGGUAAGCGGGUAGGACUCUGUGGUGGCACUGGGAACCAUGGAGUUGAAGAGCAGACUACCAGGCUGUGACCCACAUGUCUCCGUGCAUUCAGGCUGCUGUAAUAAAAAACCUUAGAAUGGACAAUUUGUAAACAACAGAAAUUUACUUCUCAUAUUCCUGGAGGCUGGGUUUCCCAAGAUCGAGGGGCCAGCAGAUGUAGUGUCUGUUGAUGACUUCGUCCUGUGUCCACACCUUCGCUUGGGGUCCCUGUGGCAUGGAGGAGGGGAACAGACUUCCACAGGCCUCUCUCCUUUUGGGUUCUGCCUUUACCCCCAAUCAUCUUGCAGAGGUCCCAAGUUUCAACAUAUGAAUUCUGGGAGUGAGGCAUGGAUACACCAUGAUACAGGGGUCAGGAAGCAGUGACCAGGUGUGAGAACUUGAGUUCCUGUGAGCAUCAUCAAAACUAACUCUCAGUGGGGUUGAGGGGUGGGUAAAGAAGAAAGGUGGUACAUGAAUGCUGCUGAAGAGGCAAACAAGCACCCAUAACCUCACUUCCUUGCUUGAACUUUUUCAGUCACAUGAAGGCAUGUGUGAUGGAAGCACCUAAGUCACCUUCAGAACUAUAGCUGCAAGAGAGCCUGACAAAGGAGCUGUUUAACAUCCCAGCUCUGAAGUAUUUCUUUAGUAUAUUAAGAGAGAUUUGGCAUGCACAAUAAAUGCUAAUUUAUCCAAUCUAUCCCCACUCAUAGGUCAAACAAAAAUUCCUGAUGUAAAAAUUUAGCUGCGCACAGUGGCACAUACCUGUAAACCCAGCAUCAGGAGGCUGAGGAAGGAGGGUUGAGUUCAGAGCCAGCCAUGGCUACAUAGUUAGUUCAAGACCAGCCUGAACUACAUAAUGAGAUCCUGUCUCAAAAAAAACUAAAAAUUAAUUAAUAGAGCACUAAGUGUCAAAAGUUGUGAGGUGCAGCUCAAAUAACACUCAGAAAUUGGUAACUUCAGUGUUUAGAUCAAAAAGAAAAGAUCAAUACUUGUGGGUUAAGAUUCCAACUUCAAAAUAGUAAGAACAGUAUUACUGGUAUAGGAAGUAAAGAUAAAAGAAAAACAGAAGUGAGAAUUGGUUCAUAGGGGGAAAAAAGGAAUAAAAAAAGACUUUAGAAAAAUUAUUCCAUAAAAGAGAAACUAUAUAAUAAGGAUGAAAAGGGAAAUAGAACUGUAGGUUCUGAGUCUGGCUCGGAGGUGCAGCUUGUAAUGUCACCACUCUGGGAGGCUGAGGCAGGAGGAUCAAAACUUUGAGCCCAGUCUGGGCAACUUAGUAAGACCCGAUUUCAGAAAAACCAAAUCAGACCUCAGGACUGGAGAGCAUAUCUCAGUACGAAGGCCCUGUGUUCAAUCCCCAGCACCAAAAACAGGCAACAAAACAAAACAAAAAUGAUAAAAAAAAACUAACCAAAUCUAAAGAAAACUAUAAGUUGUGAAAGCAUCAUUAUAAAAGGAAAUUAUGGACAACUCUUUACCAGUUUGAAGGUAUAAAUUAUUACAUCUUUAAAAAUAUAACUUACUUAAAUUGACUCAAAACUAAAUAGAAAAAUAAAUACUCUUAAAGCCUCAAACAAAUCAGAUCAGUUAUUAAUACUGUACCUUACAGGAAACACCAAAUUCAGAGGUUUCAGAGGUGGCUGCAACUUUCACAGACCAGAUGAUUCUGGCUCUAAGCAAACCCCUUUCAGGGAACUUAUUUCAAGAGCUGAAUUUUUAAUAGAACUCCUCUAUUUUUAAAUGCUGGCAACUUUUAAACCAUUUUUGUCAGUGCAGGCAAAACACAGUAUGGCUGUGGGCUGGUCUCCGCCCACAACCUGCCAGUUUGUAACCCUGAUCUAAGCUUCUCAGAGGAGCAGGGUGCUCGCCACGGAGCAGUCAAACCCGGCCACUUAGGUCCACGUUAGCCCCCCUUGACGGUGGGAUCCUGGGGCAACAGCUUUCACGGAGGCGCCCGGGAAUGCGUGCCCUGCCAUCUGCACACCGUGGCUGGCCGCAGUGGGCCUCACGAGGACCGCAGGUGUCGGCUUGCUGGAGCUAGAGGGGUGGACACCAGAUGACUUUUCAGGGUUGUCCCCUGGACUCUUUGUCUAAUAAAUUCUAUUUUCUUCUUUUUAAAAAAAAUUGUUUUGCACCUGUACUGAAGUAUAACUGACAAAUACAACUGUGUAUGUCUAAGGGAUCCAACAUGAUUUGAUAAAUGUGUACAUGUAAAAUGAUGAUCACAAAUCCAUCACCUUCCACAUAAAACUAACACCUAAAACCUGUGCAUGUUUAUGGGGUACCAUGUGCCGUUUGGAUACACUGUUGUGUAUGUCAGAAUCAAGGUGGCCCUGGCUAUCUCCUUAAGCAGUCAUUAGUACUUCUUUAUGGUGAAAACAGUCAAAUCCUUUUUUCUAGAUUUAAAAAGUCAACAGUACCUUGGCACCCUCUGUCAGCACCCUCUGUGCCAUAGCCCCAGAGCUUUUCUUCCCUCUGUGUCUUGGCACUGAUGAUUGACUCUGCCCAGCCCUGCCUGCCCCCUGCCCUCGUCAGCCUGUUUUAGAUUCCACGUGUGUGUGUGUGUGUGUGUGUGUGUGUGUGUGUGUGUGUGUAUUUGUUGUUCUGUGCCUGCUUAUGUCACUAAGCACGAUGACUGGUUAUCAGUUGAUGGACACUUGGGCUGUUUCUCUUGCUUGGCCUUUGAGAACAGUGCUGCAGUGAACCUUGGGGUGCAGCUGACUCUUCAGUGUCCUAGUUGUGUUUUCUCUGGACAUGUACCCCCUGGUGGGAUUUCUGGACCGUGUGGUGUUAUGGCUUAUGUCUGGACGUCCCCUCAAACCCUCUUGCACUCAUAGGUGGGGCUUUUGGGAGGUGGCUGGAUGCUGGUAUGAGGUAAGUGAAUCUGUCCUCCAACUGGAGUAACGUAUUAUGGGUGCGGCUGGAUGGAUUCAGUGAAGAUUCACUAUGGGUGUGAGUGGCACCAACCAGGAGCCUCAUAGCCUGGAUGGAAUGAAAAGGGGAUAAAAGAAGCAACGCCACCACUUGCUGUCUUUUGUCUGCCCUGCCGUGGACUGUUUCUCCUCUGCCAUGUCUGUCUGCCAUGCUGCCCUGCCUUGGAACCAGCUGACUAUGGAUUGAAGCCUCUACUAACUGUGAGCAAAGUAAAACCUUUCCUCCUUUAACUUACGGGUUGUGUCAGUCAGUGUUUUACUACAGAAGCAGAUUUUACGCAAGAUACACAAGAAAUUGCAUUAUGAUGGUCACCCCAGAGUUGGACGAGGAGUGCAGAGGGGGUCUACACACUGGGGACCAAAGGAUGCAGUCCGAGGUCUGGAGCUCACUGCCGUGUCCAUGCAAGUCCAUAUCAGGAGGCUGAUGGGUCUGCAGAGGAAGGUGAAGAGUCUGUCUGCCCUGAUGUUUAGGCCAAAUGUGAGGAUUGGAGCUCCUCUGAAGAACAGAAGUGAUGUGUCCCCCUCCUUCCCUGUAUACUGUCCAGGCGAUGGGCUGCCCCAAGGUGGGUUCUCUACACUCUAGAACUGCUGAGCUGAUUUAGUUAAGCUUCUCUUAAAGAAACUUCUCAAGUUGACACAGUCAUUACAUGGUUGAUGAAUAUUUUGUCCCAGUAACAAGAAAAGUAACUAAUGCAAAUGGUAAUUGUAUUUUUAAUUUCUGAGGAAACUGCACCAUUUCCCGCAAUGGUGGUACUAACUGACGUUCCUACCAGCACUGUGCAAAUGCUCCCUUUUCUCCAUAGCACUUGUCAUUUAUUACUUCUAAGCGAAGGGAAGGGACAUCUCAUUGUGGUUUAUAUUCGUUCUUUUCUAAUGAUUAGUGAUGGUAAGCAUUUUCAAAGCAUACUUGGUCAUUUGUAUGUCUUCUUUUGAAAAAUGUCUAUUUAGCUCUAUUGUCCACUUUUAAGUUGGACUACUUGAGCUUUUUGCUCUCUCAGUCAUACCCCAGCUCACGAAUUUAAUUCUUUCCAUGGUUCUGGUCACAGAUUCCAUCCCCGGAGUGUGACUGCAGUGCGACCAGAAUCGGGGAAAGGACUCUAAGUUCGUGAACGGAGACACUUACAGCUCCGUCCCUUAUGUGUUCUAGUUAUUAACUCCUUGUCAAACAGCGUGCGGACACCUCUCGUUUUCUAGGUUGUCUCUUCACUGUGUUGUUCUUUUGUUGUACAGCUUCUUACUGGGACGAAAUCUCAUUUGCCUAUUUUUACUUUUAUUUCCUGUGCUUUGCAACGCAGCUUUCCGAAUGCAUCCUUCUGUGUUACCAUCUGAUCCAAUAAUAAACACAGUGAUUUUUCACUCCUUCUAGAUGCUCUGACUUCAGGAAAAAAGCACUGUGAUAUUUAGGCCACGUCUGGGGCGCAGGCUCUCCCGCAGCCUGCCAAUCACUUUUCUCAGGAGAGGGGACAGAGUGCAGGGACUCACAGUCUGGUGCGGGCUGCACCACCCGGUUCAAACCUUGCCUCUGCCACUUCAUGACUCCGCGACGCCGGCAUACCUUCCUGUUCUCAGUGUACAGUGGGAUACACACAGUCCCUCUUCACGGGCACUCACAUUCGACUCGUGAGAAACAAGACAAUUUUACACAAGAGACGCAGCAUGUGUUCCAUGGCAGAUUCGGUGUCCGCACCUUGAGUCUGGGCUGGGCUGGGCUGGGCGGCUCAUGCGAUGGCGCCCUGGAGUCUCCCAGUCUGGGCCCCUCGGGUGUUCCUGUGUUUCCCUGGGCUUCCUUGCUCCUCAGCUGUAGCCACCGCUCAGCCUGAGCUUAUUCAGUCCCUUGAUGUCUGCAGAGGGGCUAGUGAGCCAGCUCCUCAGCUGACUGGCGCAGGACAAGUGGCUGUUGUUUCUGGAGGUUCCGGGUGAGCCACAGGAGCAGCUGAUGUUUAUCGAGGUCCCCACGUGCACCCACUUCACCCUCAUCACUGUAGGUACGAGGCAGUUUAUUUAACGGAAACGUAAUGGACAGAGAAAUUAGACAGAGCGCAAUGAGAAUAAUAAAAUCUUAAUGUGCAAAAUUUGAAAUAAAGUAAAUUUCUACCUGUGCCUCCCCCAGACCUAAAGUCUGGGAAGAUGGGGGAGGUCAAGGGUACAGCACUGGGUACACUCAGGGUGAUGGUGGAGUUUGUCACAUGCUGUGCCUACUUGGCAGGAGUGUCGGACCGAACAUGGUCUGGACUAACUUCAGCGACUGAGUUUUGCAGAAUGUGGCGUCUCUGCCGAAUCCUUCAUAUAAAGAGCACCGUCAUCAUGGUCAGCCACUCAGAGAUGAGAAGUAGGGUGGUCAGGGCCACACAGGCGGGGACUGAGCCCGAAGGUGGCCCGGAGGGUGAACAGGCUCCCCACGGCCUGAAUGUUUUUUCUUCAGCCCAGCAGACUUCUCAGGAAGAUAAAACCACUGUACAAGGUUCAAGUCAUUUUUCUUCAGGCCGAGAGGAUCAGCCAGGGCGGGGAGUCCUGCCCACUGCUCUUUGUACUCAGGUGCUAGACUUGCUGGUGAGUUAGGAGCUUGGUUUGCAUAUUUCCCGGACCCUUGAUAGUCUUAACCCGGUACAGCUGGGAAUGCUCUCGGUCUCUGAUCGCUAUGCCUGGCGUUUCCUACAUUAUAUCUGUUUCCUUUACUGUUUUGGAUUGCCUUUUCUUUUCGUUUUCCUUUUCUCUGUCUAUCUCUGUUUUCCUCAGCCCUUUCAGCUCUUUAAAGCUGUCAGUGAUACAGAGAGGCACGGGGCACCGUACCUGGAUCUCUGAGCUUUGGCUCCUACAAACCCGAGGUCUUCCCAUGGAUUCCUCGGACUUUCUGGGCUCUUCAGUCAAUUCCUGGCCUUUUGUCUCCCUCUAGUGGCCACCACAUUUACUGCUUCAUCUGGUGACAGCUUGCACCCCAGCUUAUGCAGGGAGCAGUUACCCAGGAAAAGCCUUUAAAAGCCUGUGGUCAGAGCACUGCGUUUUGAAAGGUUCCAGGCUCCUUUGUAAUAUUAAGCUAUGUGCUCGAAGUUUCUAUAUGUUUAAGUGAAUUAUUUGAAGCAAUAAAGGAAAGGUCUACUCUGAACAAGUAGACUUCCAUCCAGCUGAGCCUUGUUCUAACAGGUAUGUCUCCUCUCUGUAUUAAUGAGAAAUCAAUAUGUCAGUCGACAAACAUUUACUGAGAAUCCACCAAGCACUGCACACACUUCUGUACGCUAGGAUGUGUGAUAGGUGGAAGAAACAUCCAAGCCCUCAUGCCAAAUUUCUGACUGUUCUGCUACUGUCAGCAUCAACAAACCUAAUGUGCUACUUACCUGCCUUGUGGGAAGAGGAAGAGCCCUGUUGCCCUUUCUGUUUUUUUUUUUUAAGACAGGCUCUCACUGAUGGGGGCUGGCCUCGAACUCACAGCAGUCCUCCUGCCUCAGCCUGCCAAGUGCCGGGAUUACAGCUGUGUGCCACCACGCCUGGCUUCUGUUGCCCUUUCUAACCCCAGUGAGUCUACACUGCUCUCUAAACCCCUGGCUUUGUUCAUUGUAAUAUGAUCAGAGAGGUCACAGCCAGUGAGUCCACUAAUGCGAGGUUUAUGGUAACUAAAUUUCUCCUAAUGAAUGAACAACAAAUAGAUUCAGUUUUUGAUGGCAAAAUGUAAAAGCCGUGUCGCCAUCUUGAGGUUAAAGGUUAUGUAAGUUGUUGCUGUUUAAGUAGAAUGGAACCUGGCAGCUCAUGGCAGGCCCUGGACUGGGAGGUCCCCACCCGCCUGCUCGCCCGCCCGUCCGCCUUGGCUGGGAUCUGUGUGGACAUUUGGUGUUUUUAGACCAACCCUAGCCGCGGUGUCCUCGAGGCGUCUGCAGUCUCGGUCUUUUUAAACUUCCAUAAUCUUUCUUACUAGUCAUUUUGCAAACUGCAGCUUCUGAUUUCAACUAGAAUCGCAACCAAGAUGGAGCUCUGUGGUUUGUGGUUGUCACACGGGGCCUCUGCUGACAGGUUGUGGAACUCGCACCCAGGGAGCAGGCCCAGGUGACAGCCACUGCGGCGGCUGGGCUGAGCCUGGGGUGCUCUGCUCCCACCCUGAGGUCCUAGGCUUCCAGGGUAAAUGACAAAAUGCUACCGGCCCAGCUGCCCUGCUGACACAGGGGUCUGUCCUCCAGGCUGCUGUCCACCCUGCUGGCCUCCCCUGGCCUGUGCCCUGGGAGGCCAGAAGUGUCCUCAGGCCAGUGCUGGUGGGAGGCCACUUCCUCUUGCCUGGCACUGAGCACUCAUGUCACCUGCCAGGGGUGUGGGGGGACAGAACUCUCCUCCCCUUCCUCAGAGUGUCCCUGGAGGCUAACGGGACCCAGGAGGAGAGCCGUACUGGCCUGCUCAUCUGGGUGAUACGGUCUUCCCAGGCUUCACAGUAAAUGAUUGAAAUUUGCCCCCAUUGCUAGCACUUUAAACUCUGUAGUUAUUCUAGUUGCUAGGAGGUCACUCUGUAAACAGGAAUCCCCGCUUUGUGAAGGAAAAGGGCACUCGCAGGGCGUCGGGGUUGGGAAGGCGGAACUGGAGCCUUUCAGGGAGGCGCGGGAGCCAGGAGCCCUGGGGCUGAGUGAGGGAGCUCUGGACGCUGGCUCUCAGCAGCGCUUGGGUCCUGUUGGAAAUGCGCAGUUAGACCAGCUGAGGCGGGAACUCAGGGCGCGGUGGAGUCCCAGGAGCUGCGGAGGACUCAGGUCUGAUAGUCUGAGCCAGAGGAAAAUGGAGCCCAGGGGUUCGUGUGAGCGUGUUCUGUUAAAAACACAGUUACUGCAGACAUCUUUAAAAUUCAUGCAAGGCGUGAUAAAAGAUAACACAGUCUUCGUAUUUUAAACUUUCCUUUAUUUUUUACUUAUUUUUAUUUUUUAAUUUUAAAAAGCAAAGCAGAAAAAGUGAUAGAAAUACAGAAUUUUUAAAAAACAGAUCCACACUAGUCAUUAUAUUAUAUACUGUUAUCUUAGAAGUAGUUGCUCAGGUUACAAGAUCUAGGCAUAAAAGUUCAAACAACCAAACAGUGACAGCACAAACUGUUCUUUUUGAUGAACUAACAGAGAAUUAGUAGUAUCGUACCUGCCUUGCACACGUACGCGUACAUAGUUCCAUGUUACCUACAUACCUGUAAUCUUUAACUCUCUUCCUCUCUGCUUCCCCAUCCCAGUAGCUCUUUCCUUUUGAGCACUUUCUUUCCCUUUCAUUAUCACAGUACCUGUUGUACAUUUUGGAUCUUACUACUCUUUCAGUUUAUUAUUAUUUUUUACACUAGGGAGGCACGACACAAUGCCGUGGGUACCCUUAAAAUACUCUCCCUUUCUUUGAACGCACUUAUCCCGCUGCUCUGAAAACCAUUUGCACCAUCCAAGAGAGCAGGGUGGUAGGCGGAGGUCAUCAGAACCCGCCCGCCCAGGAAUGGACGUGUAAACCGAGCAGAUUGCUUAACAUCCUGCGUGAUCCUUGAUGAUAUUUUUGGAAUGAUCCUGCCUGGUUAUUCUGAGAUUCUUCUCAGCUAAUUUAGCAUGGCGGUGUCAGUGGGAAAGGGUGCCAAACUCAGACUUUUACUGCCAAAAAUGACAGUGAAUAGAAUUAGACCAUCAGGAGCGCAAUUAGUUUAGACACGCUAUUAACACUCCAAAAUGAGCACAGAAGCAAAAUGGAAAGUUGAAAGAAAAAUGAAUUUAGCUCAGUUCAUGGCAAACAAUAAAAUAAAUUUCUAGCCAAAAUUUGAGAUAUUUUUGUUUGCAAUGACAAUUAAAUGAAAAUAAUACCUUUAUGCAAAUUUUUGAUAAUCACUUCCACAGUAAUAGUAAAAAGACAACAUAUCUUGACUAAUAAACUAUAUCGUGGACGAUCCUGAGAUGAGACUGUUUCUCUUCUUCAUCCAUCCUGAAAAUGUGUACACUAUAAUAUCCAGUCAUGGCAGUGGUAUUGCGCUGUCCCGUGCACUCCAGCCCGGUGGAGGAGCCAGAUGUGUGGUGUACUUUACAAACAUUUCAUCUAUGUAUUCGCUGUCAGAAAAUACCAGGGUGCUUGAGAAGUAUGGCAAAUGGUUUUCUUUUCGUAAAUUUUGGUAACUGGGGGUCAAUUUAACACCAGCCGAAUUAAAUCAGCAUGGUGCUGAGUGUGGAUGGCCCACCUGAGGAAAGCUGCCAGCAUAAAAGACGUGGAGAGGAAGAAUGGCAUGGGGGCUUUCGUAGUAUAUGCUGUUGUUUGGAGCUGUUGGUUCCCCCCAGGAGCUGGUCAUGCUGGCUCCCCUGCUGUGAACUUGGGUAUUAUCGUCUGAGGAGCUCCAGACCUUGUCGCUGAGGAUGGCUGUGGUUCGCUCUCUGAGAGCUUUGGUCCUCACACUGAGCAUCGCUCUCUGGCCCUGGAGGGGAAGAUGUGUGCCGUUCAGUCUCUAGGAGAAGCUUGUCACGCUGGCUCCCUCAUAUGAAUGCGGGUAUUCUCAUUGUCGCUGAGAAUGGCUGUGGUACUUUUUUGGGGAGCCCUGAUCCUUAUUUUGGGUGUUGCUUCUUGGCUCCAGAGUAGAAUCCUCUACUGGCAUGGAUCCUUCAAUUCCUGGCAUAGACUUUCUAGCUUCCACCGCCGACCUGGGGGUCUUCCCGGUGCAGAGUAAUGAAACAGACUUUCAUAAGUCAUUGUCGUGGGUUUAAGCCUCCAGGUGGACUCAGGGGUGCUACAUGGUCAUGGUCAUGGUCAUGAUCAUAGGUCUUCAACUGGACUCAGGCAGGACAUUGCUGUGGGAUCCAGGCCUUUAGCUGCAUUUUCUAGGUCUUUAGCGUUGUGGACAGGUUUCGUGCACACUCUUGUAUUUAACUCGGGGUGACCAUCAUAAAACAGGAUUAUAAACUCUGUGUCCUGCACGCAGUUGUUCUCCCCGCACCCCCUGACUACAGCACCAGCCUCCCAGUUGUUUUUUCUUUCUUUUCUCUUUUUUCCCCACCAGUGAUAAAUGUGUCAGUCAGCUUUCUGUUACUGUAACAAGCAUCUGGGACAGUAAGUUAGAAAGGUUCAUCUUGGCCCUCAGUUUCCCAGCUUGCUCUGAGCACACAGCAGACCACACCCUUCCCUCACGGAGGCUGGGUCCCCACUGUCCCCUUCGUGGCGCGGCUGCAGUGACCUGAAGACCUCCCCCUGGGCCCACCUCUUCAGCACGCUCUGGGCCAAGCCUUUAACAUACAGGGCGGUGCGGGGCGUUCCACGUCCAGGCUGGGGGCACAGCUGCCGCAGCUGAGGCAGGUGGUGGUGGGGGCAAAGGUCUGAGAGGGCCGCUGUGCGUUUAUCUUCGACCAUCAUUGUGUAAUGACUGAGUAGGCAUUAGAUGGCUACUGAAGGGUCCAUAGUUUUAAUUUUUAUUUUCUUUCUUCAUGACCAAGCUUUGUUUUUAUCAGCCUCCCAUGUCCUGCAGUUGGGACCACACUGAGGUCAGCUAGGGUUGACAGGGUCAGUGGCAGAAGUGGUCCCCAGGACCAGAACGUUUCUCCCAGCCAAGGUCCAGCUGGAGUGGCAGCAUGUCACAGGCCAAGGCCAGGGCUUUAGAUUUGGGGGUCCAUGUGGAGUCUCGGCUCGGCUGUUUAUGAGCUGUGCUGUCUCGGCCUCUCUGAGUCGUAAUUACUUAUUACGUAAAAUGAGAAUUUUAGCUCCUGUGUUGUAAAGCUAUUAUAAUUAUUAAAUGACACAAAACUUAUGCCAUUAUAUAAACAAUGGUAUAUAUGCAUGUUUAUGUUUUCCUGGGUCAUCAAUAGAAAUGUUUGUGUCCUCUGCAAAUGUAGAAGCCAAAUCCCAGCCCAGCACUUUGGAUCGUGAUGGGGUAAAUUAGCUCAGCCUCUCUGAACCCUUCCAGUGCUGCAGCUUAGUGUGCACUCGACCUGAUUUUCUGGUGGGAGGUUGAGGAGAGAGGGUGGGUGCCCCGCGCCACACUGGUGACUCACAGUGAUCCCAGAAGGAACAGAGUCUUUGCCUGUUCCUCUCUCUGCGGUGUGUUUGUCCUCACAGACGUUUGUGUCUCGAUGCUUGACUCUCACUCACGCCUGUGACUGUUUGUUAUUUGUAGACACAGUUGUUUUCUCUGCCUGGUCUGUCUGAA
This is an RNA transcript of Cavia porcellus (domestic guinea pig), 19766 nucleotides long. It is a transcript of the gene named tigger transposable element-derived protein 1-like, with no coding region annotated. The transcript has 3 exons. NCBI's taxonomy places the organism in Eukaryota, Metazoa, Chordata, Mammalia, Rodentia, Caviidae. The record is from RefSeq and is a predicted model, not a curated record.